GGCAGGUUAACCGAUACAUGUUAAAUAUGUUAAAGUAUAAAUAUAAUAUAAGCAUACAUGUCUUAAGUUAUUUUGCUGUACAGAAAGAUGACGUGCUAUUAGCCUGAAAGCACCUUCAUUUUCUUUACUUUCCUUGGUUUUUUUAAUCUGCAUUUUCUUCUUACACAAUGUGGCCUGCAUAGAAAUCAGUCUUGCACAACUGGACGUGUGUAACCUGUAUCAGACGGCUCGGCUUCCCAAUGAGAAGAGUGGGGGGGAAGGGAGAGCAUCUGGGACUCGAAAAGUUUCUAAAGCAACGCUAAGAGAUGUCAUGGCGCAUCAUGGGGGGGAAUUCAGUUCAGAAGUAAAUCAUCCAUCUCCCUUCCCCAAGGUCCCAGCAUUGACGCAUGCUUCAGGAAGGCCAAAGGCAGCGAAGUCGGUCCCUGCGAGUGUGGAAGCAGGAGAGCCUGGGAGGGGGAGAGAAUUCAGCGAGAUCCGCGGGAAGCAGCCCCUUAGCGCAGACCCCGGACUCCUGCGGCCCAGGGCACACCUGGAGGCCUGGGGGAGCCUCCUCCCCAGGGAGAUGUGGGCAGGUGGACUCCUGCGGUGGCCGAGAGGGGGAGGGGAGGGAGAAGGACCACCCCCCACCUGACAGGUGGAAACGGAGGCCGGGGCAGGCUAAGGGACUCGUCCAUCACCGGCCGGGGGUAAACAAGCGGCGCGCCGGGAAUGCGGCCCUCUCCCCGGCCCUGCGUGAGCCAGCCCGCCCCCGUUAGCCCGGCUGUGCCCCAGGCCUGGAAUACAUGACCCCUCAAUUCCACCUUCCCCGCUCCCCCAAUGCCAGGAUUUCCCCGGUUAAUCAGCGCCGAUUUAUAAAGGUCUGGACUUUGUUCUCCCAGCUCUGCGCCUUGCUCCGUGCCCCAGCCCCCCCCGGCCCCCCCUCCCGGGCCCCAAGCCCCGCCCUCCAGGGCCCCAAAGCCCCGCCUCCAGGAGCCCCGUCCUCCAGGAGCCCCUCCCCCCGCCCCUCCGGGCCCCAAGCCCCGCCCUCCAGGGCCCAAAGCCCCGCCCUCCAGGGCCCAAAGCCCCGCCCUCCAGGAGCCCCGUCCUUCAGGAGCCCCGCCCCUCCGGGCCACAAGCCCCGCCCUCCAGGAGCACCGCCCCUCUGGGCCACAAGCCCCGCCCAUCCGGCCUCCAAGCCCCGCCCUCCCGGGCCACAAGCCCCGCCCUCCCGGGCCCCAAGCCCCGCCCUCCCGGGCCCAAGCCCCGCCCUCCAGGGCCCCAAAGCCCCGCCCUCCAGGAGCCCCGCCCUCCAGGAGCCCCGCCCGCCAGGGCCCCCUGCAGCCCCUCCCCCUGACCCGCCCCCCUUCUCCGGGCCGAGCUCCUGCCCUUGCCCCUCGGUGCCAGUGCCUCCGUGACUCAGCACAUUUUGGGGCUCCGGGGCAGGGGCGGGACGGGCGGGGCGUCAGGGGCGGGCCGGGGGCGGAGUCCGGAUUUAUUAAGCUCCGGGCCGCGCGGGGAUUCAGCUUCCGGUUUGCGCUGGUGCUUGCGGUCCUGCUCUCCGGAGAUGCCUCCCUACACCAUCACCUACUUCCCUGUCCGAGGGCGAUGUGAGGCCAUGAGGAUGCUCCUGGCGGACCAGGGCCAGACCUGGAAGGAGGACGUGGUGACCAAGGAUAUGUGGAUGAAGGGGGACCUCAAGGCUACUUGUCUCUAUGGGCAGCUCCCCAAGUUCGCCGACGGAGACUUCAUCCUUUACCAGAGCAACGCCAUCCUGAGAUACCUGGGCCGCCAGCUCGGGCUCUAUGGGAAGGACAACCGAGAAGCUGCGCUCUUGGACAUCGCCAAUGAUGGGGUAGAGGAUCUUCGGCUCAAGUAUGGUCGCCUCAUCUACCAGAACUAUGACGAAGGCAAGGAUGAUUAUGUGAAGGACCUGCCCAACCAGCUGAAGCCUUUUGAGAACCUGCUGAGGCAGAACCAAGGAGGCAAAACCUUUAUUGUGGGAGACCAGGU
Molecule: long non-coding RNA, 1989 nt
Filed under: Sarcophilus harrisii (Tasmanian devil)
Lineage: Eukaryota; Metazoa; Chordata; Mammalia; Dasyuromorphia; Dasyuridae
Description: lncRNA (ENSSHAG00000021800.1)
Source: RNAcentral